This is a long non-coding RNA of Uranotaenia lowii, 845 nucleotides long. RefSeq lists it as uncharacterized. The record is from RefSeq and is a predicted model, not a curated record. The transcript has 3 exons. NCBI's taxonomy places the organism in Eukaryota, Metazoa, Arthropoda, Insecta, Diptera, Culicidae.
GUUCAAAAGUGCGCCAUUUUCGCGAACUUUAGUUUAAAAGAAAAUUUAAUUAAAAAGGAAUUGCCGGUAAUCGAUUUUUACUUAAAGAAUCGAAACAUCCUGUAAUUGGGAUUCCCUGUCCCGGUGGACCAUCAUCUGUCGAUUCUGUGCGAGAAUUUCGAUAACGCUAACAGUAGUGCGCUGAUGUUGAACGGCCCUCCUUUGACGGAGGACCGUUCAACACUAUCCGGAUAAGCUGCGAUGGCCAUCCUUGCAGAAGUCGCCCGAAAAUCUUCCAUCCGCCGCACCAAAAGUUGUUGAAACAUGCCGCGAUGGUGUGGGUUCCCAUUCAGCCAUCGACGCCGAUGGCUGGAAUCGUAUCCGUCGAGAGAGUUUCCCCGUCGAUUCAAGAUCUCCGACGAGUAAGGAUGUUGAGGCUGGUUGAUAUGCCGCACGCACAGCCAAUCGACCAACAAUUUCGGCAUUGUGCGUUACUGGCAAAGAGCUGGUGCUUCGCUGACUACCCAUCAUCUACGCCGUCACCCAAGACGAACAGGACAUCAGAUUGAAGUGCCUGGAAGCCACUCUGCAGAUUUUUAAGAAAUCCGAAAUCGGAGGAAAUAUUGGUCUAAUUUCGGAAACAAAAGGGCGGCGUAGCUUCCGGUACAACCUGUCCGAGACACUCACAAUGGCAACGAUUUAAAAGUUGCUCCCACAUCUGGAACGGGACACAGCAUUGCUGAAGAGCAUCAUCUCCGCGGCCAAGUACAAAUAAUUUGAGUCAUCGUUGAACUGACCGACUAACUGGUGGUUGCUCGAACUUCUAACCAAAGGCCCUAGAUCUUUAAGUACAACCUGCCUUGAAA